This 64-nucleotide transfer RNA is filed under the name Neptis namba. RNAcentral describes it as "tRNA-Cys". Lineage: Eukaryota; Metazoa; Arthropoda; Insecta; Lepidoptera; Nymphalidae. The record is from RNAcentral.
AGCUUUAUAUUCAAAAUAAUGAUAUAAAAUUGCAAAUUUUAAGGUGUAUAAAAUACUAAGGCUU